RNAcentral lists this ribosomal RNA (253 nucleotides) under uncultured bacterium. RNAcentral describes it as "partial 16S ribosomal RNA". It matches the Rfam family "Bacterial small subunit ribosomal RNA", at positions 524 to 776 of the family's 1533-position model. The record is from RNAcentral.
UACGGAGGGUGCAAACGUUGCUCGGAAUCAUUGGGCGUAAAGCGCACGCAGGCGGUCGCGCGCGUGGGGUGUGAAAUCUGGCCGCUUAACGGCCAGGCGCCAUCCCAUACGGCACGACUGGAGGGCUGCAGAGGUCGAUGGAAUUGCCGGUGUAGUGGUGAAAUGCGUAGAGAUCGGCAGGAACACCCAGGGGGAAACCAGUCGACUGGGCAGCACCUGACGCUGAGGUGCGAGAGCGUGGGGAGCGAACCGG